AGGACGAACGCUGGCGGCGUGCUUAACACAUGCAAGUCGAGCGGUAAGGCCUUUCGGGGUACACGAGCGGCGAACGGGUGAGUAACACGUGGGUGGAUCUGCCCUGCACUCUGGGAGAAGCCUGGGAAACUGGGUCUAAUACCGGAUAUGACCUGCUCUCGCAUGGGGGGUGGGUGGAAAGAUUUAUCGGUGCAGGAGUGGGCCCGCGGCCUAUCAGCUUGGUUGGGUGGGGUAAUCGGCCCACCAAGGCGACGACGGGUAGCCGACCUGAGAGGGUGACCGGCCACACGUGGGACUGAGACACGGCCCAGACUCCGUACGGGAGGCAGCAGGUGGGAAUAUUGCACAAGUGGGACGAAAGCCUAGAUGCAGCGACGCCGCGUGGAGGAUGGAAGGUCC
This 399-nucleotide ribosomal RNA is filed under the name uncultured soil bacterium. RNAcentral's name for it is "bacterial SSU rRNA". It matches the Rfam family "Bacterial small subunit ribosomal RNA", at positions 26 to 418 of the family's 1533-position model. The record is from RNAcentral.